Molecule: non-coding RNA, 3540 nt
Organism: Arachis ipaensis
Lineage: Eukaryota; Viridiplantae; Streptophyta; Magnoliopsida; Fabales; Fabaceae
Source: RefSeq, a predicted model, not a curated record
UGUAUCAAUAGACAAGAUAAAUUACUAUAAGCAUAUUAUUAUAUAAGGGAUACAAUAGAGAUAAGAUACAAAAUUAUAGUAAGAUAUUAACAACUUAAUUACAAACGCAGAACUCCCCGAAAAAGAGUUAUUUAUAUAUUACAUGCAAUAUCCGCUGAAAAUAAGGUGAUAAACAUGGAUUACUUAGUGGUAAUGGUGAUAUCACUAUCAAUAGGGCAUUUGGUCUAGUGGUAUGAUUCUCGCUUUGGGUGCGAGAGGUCCCGAGUUCGAUUCUCGAAAUGCCCCAAAUUUUUAGAUUGUACAAGCCAAGGUUUUUAAAAUAGGCUAAGAGGUGAAAUCAAUAUGAUUAAAAUAUAAGGUUAAGCAAAUAGUAAUCUGCCUAGGGUGACAGCUUGCUUGAGCCUUGACUUUCACAAUAGGAGUUUCAUGUUCCAGAUCUAAAAUGAGCACCAACUAAACAAAGAGGAGUUCAAAGAUUAUUUAAUAGAUAAAGCAAAAACAGCAUACAAUAAUAUCUUUAGAUUACUAAAUCAUUAAAAUUAUAGAUCUCAAAGAAGAAAAAUCAAUAAAAAAAUGUGAAAGCUAUAUAUAAUAUACAUACUAAUAUGAAAUACAUGCUUGCAAUAAACAUGAACAGAUAAGUUAACCUCAAUUUGAAAACCUACUCACUAAAUUAAAAAUGAAGUGAUGUCAUUGACAACAGGGCAUUUGGUCUAGUGGUAUGAUUCUCGCUUUGGGUGCGAGAGGUCCCGAGUUCGAUUCUCGGAAUGCCCCAUUUUUAAUUUUGUUCCACUUCAUAUAAGAGAUCAUUUUCUUCUUUCUUUUUGAAACUUAAGAGAUUUAUUUUCUAUCAUCAUCAAUGCAGCAUAUAAAAACAUAAUAGUUUUGUGACUAGCAAUCUGCAGGGGACUCAGUACAGUGUAAAUGUGCAAGGCACAAACAAUAGAGCAAUCAAUUUUUUGUUUUACAUUACACACGUCCUUUCUUAGGGGACCUACAUCCUCUUUUGCAAUCGGUUUCGCUACAGAAAGAAUUUGAAAGAAUUUGUAUAGUGUGAACCGCACAGGGGUAACUGGAUCGUAAUCUGUCUAGCUUAACAAGCUUGCUUAAGCGUUGGUUUUCAAUAGGGAGAGCUUCAUUUUCAUAUUCUGGAUCUAAAGUAAAGCAGGAGUUUAAUUGUAUAUAUUGUAUGAAAUACAGCUAAAUAAACAUGAAUAAGGAACUUAAAGUCAAUUUGAAAAACUACACACUAAAAUAGUGAUGUUUUGUCAUUGGCAACUGGGCAUUUGGUCUAGUGGUAUGAUCAUCAUUUGGGUGCGAGAGGUCCCAAGUUUGAUUCUCGGAAUGCCCCAUUUUUAAUAUUUUGUUCCCUUCAUAUAAGAGAUCUAUUUCUUCAUUUUCUUUUUCCUUCUUUUGGAACAUCAAAGAUAUCUGUGUUCUAUCAUCAUAUCAAUUCAUCAUACAAACUAUAAUGGUUAUGUGACUGCCAAUCUGUAGGGGACUCCGUUGUGUGUAAAUGUCCAGGCCAAGAUUUUGUAUAGUGUGAAGUGUUCAGGGGUAACUGGAUCUUAAUCUCCCUAGGAUGACAGGUUUGCUUAAGCCUUGGUUUCCAAUAGGGAGAGUUUCAGGUUCUGGAUCUAAACUGAAGCAGGAGUUUCAUUGUAUAUAGUACAUGAGAUAUAGCUAACAAAUAAACAUGAAUAAAGAAGUCAAAGUCCAUUCAAAAAACCACACACCAAAAUAAUAGCGAUGUGAUGUCAUUGGCAACUGGGCAUUUGGUCUAGUGGUAUGAUUCUCGCUUUGGGUGCGAGAGGUGCCGAGUUCGAUUCUCGGAAUGCCCCAUUUUUAAUAUUUUGUUCCCUUCAUAUAAGAGAUCUAUUUCUUCAUUUUCUUUUUCCUUGUUUUGGAACUUCAAAGAUAUCUAUAUUCUAUCAUCAUAUAAAUUCAUCAUACAAACUAUAAUUGUUUUGUGACGGGCAAUCUGUAGGGGACUCUCUUCUGUGUAAAUGUGCAGGCCAAGAUUUUGUGUAGUGUGAAUUGUUCAGGGAUAACUGGAUCAUAAUCUGCCUAGGUUGACAAGCUUGCUUAAGCCUUGGUUUCCAAUAGGAAGAGUUUCAGCUUCUGGAUCUAAACUGAAGCAGGAGUUUCAUUGUAUAUACUAUAUGACAUACAGCUAACAAAUAAACAUGAAUAAAGAAUUCAAACUCAAUUUGAAAACUACACACUAAAAUAAUAGCGGUGUGAUGCAAUUGGCAACUGGGCAUUUGGUCUAGUGGUAUGAUUCUCGCUUUGGGUGCGAGAGGUCCCGAGUUCGAUUCUCGGAAUGCCCCAUUUUUAAUAUUUUGCUCCCUUCAUAUUAGAGAUCUAUUUCUUCUCUUUUCCUCUUUCUUCUCUUUGAAACUUAAAAAGAGAUAUUUGUUCUAUCAUCGUAUCAAUUCAUCAUACAAAAACAUAAUGGUUUUAUGACUGGAAUUGUGCAGGGGACUCUGUCCAGUGUAAAUGUGCAAGCCAAGAUUUUGUAUAGUGUGAAAGCAUUCAGGGGUAACUGGAUUAUAAUCGGCCUAGGUUGACUAGCUUACUUAAGCCUUGGCUUUAAAUAGGGAGAGUUUCAUGUUCUGGAUCUAAAGUGAAGCAGGAGUUUCAUUGCAUAUAGUAUGUGAAAUACAGCUAACAAAUAAACAUGAAUAAAGAAGUCAAAGUCAAUUUGAAAAACUGCACACUAAAAUAAUAGUGAUGUGAUACCACUGACAACUGGGCAUUUGGUCUAGUGGUAUGAUUCUCGCUUUGGGUGCGAGAGGUCCCGAGUUCGAUUCUCGGAAUGCCCCCAUUUUUCAAAAUUUUCUUCCCUUUGUAAAAAAAAUAAUUUUUUAUUCAAGACUAAUAAUAUUAAGUGUUAACUUCUACUAGGAGUUGUUUCAUGUUCAGAUCUAAAAAUGAAGAAGGGAAAGGAUGGCCUGUAAAAGGGGAAAGAUGGCAUCUCUCAAAAAUCCCAAUCAUUGACACAGUCCUUCUUUCCAUAUAGGUCGUGAACCAAAGAAUAUAAGUAAUUUGCAGAAAAACAGACUAUUUAAUCUCACAGAUAAGAAGAAAAGCAUCUUGUAUUUUAUAUUAGAAACCAUCCAAAUUUCACGGGCUUAUAGUUUAUAGCUUUUAUGUUCAGAUACAAAAAGUAAUCUCUUGUAUCAACUGCAAUAGAUAGAAGAUUUAACCAGAGAAUGGAGGAAGCAAAACAAACAGCACUGUAUAAUGUAUUAUAAAACUUCGUUGUACUUUUGCAUGAGAUAUUCUUUUUCUCAUUCCCUCAAAUAGAAAUCCUUAAAACUAUUACUUGUUCCCAAGGAUGAUCAAACGCAGGAAGGAAUAAAUAAAGUUAAUCAUCUACCCUUUUCUUAAUACAUUGUCCCUUCUUCCUAAAGAUGUUCAAUGUGUCACAUGGAUGAAUAAGUAGAUCAUGAUUAAUAAGAUAUAAGUUUUCCAACUGCCAGAAGAAACUAUGAAUAGUACUUGCAUGAAUUUUGAAAGGGCCGGGGAUAAUAAAUU